AAUAUAGCCUUGAUUUUCCCUGUAUAAUACAUUUUUACCCUGAGUUUGACAGACACUUCCAGCAGCCAAAGAGCGCAGAUCUGUGAGGUAGUGAGGUAGCAGCAGUCGAGAUGAGAGCGCUGAGCAGAAGGCGCACCAGACGCUCUCCAAACCCCAAACUCAGUCGCGCACUCCUGGAACUCAUACAUUUGGGCACUGGAGUGAAGCAGGGUUGGAAGUCGUUUUUAGAGGUUUCAGAGGAUAUUAGAAUGAACGGCGAUUGAGUAUCACACCAUAAGUAGACACAGGGACCCUACUCACUCCGAGGGACGUUUACUGCUGUCAUAAAAUGGUGUCGGGCACAUAAAGGCAGGGGCCAUGAAACCGUACCCUCAUCAUCAGACUGUACAGUAGAGAAGCAGAUCCAUGAUCCCGCUGCAAGCAGGGCAUAAAAUCACUACUGCAUGAUAAGGAGCUGCACCGGGACUUUGAACCUUUUACUAGUAUCUAUAAAAGAGGCACAGGACGGAGGACACAAUGUCUAUAAAGCCCUAAUGGAGGAUCAAUUAAGAUGGUUGGGCUGCAGAAAGAGGCUUUUACAGUGUGGGGUUUUAACACUAACCUUGUCUUAACCACUAACACUAAAACCACGAGUCUGGAAAUGUCAGCCUAGUUUUAAUUCCAGUGCAUCACCAACAUCUUCUGAUGGUAUAAAGAGUGAAUG
Molecule: long non-coding RNA, 703 nt
Organism: Paramisgurnus dabryanus
Lineage: Eukaryota; Metazoa; Chordata; Actinopteri; Cypriniformes; Cobitidae
Source: RefSeq, a predicted model, not a curated record